GCUGGGCACAGUGGUGCAUACCUGUAGUCCCAGCUAUUUGGAAGGCUGAGGCAGGAGGAUUGGUUGCUUGAGUCCAGGAGUUUGAGGCAGCCUGGGCAACAUUGUGAGACUCUGUCUCAA
This 120-nucleotide small RNA is filed under the name Marmota monax (woodchuck). The record is from RNAcentral. Lineage: Eukaryota; Metazoa; Chordata; Mammalia; Rodentia; Sciuridae.